Molecule: ribosomal RNA, 1044 nt
Filed under: Sciurus vulgaris (Eurasian red squirrel)
Lineage: Eukaryota; Metazoa; Chordata; Mammalia; Rodentia; Sciuridae
Description: partial 16S ribosomal RNA
Rfam family: Bacterial large subunit ribosomal RNA
Source: RNAcentral
GUCCAGAAUAGAAUUUUAGUUCAACCUUAAAUUUACCUAAAAGAAUUAUUAAUCCUAAUGUAAAUUUAAUAGUUAUUCUAAAGAGGUACAGCUCUUUAGAUUAAAGGAAACAGCCUUAUUUAGAGAGUAAAUUAUAACUUCCCCAUAGUUGGCUUAAAAGCAGCCAUCAAUUAAAAAAGCGUUCAAGCUUAACCUAACAAACAUAUAUAACCUAAUUCCACACUUAACAAUAAGCUCCUAAUCAUAUAACUGGACUACUCUAUAAACUUAUAGACGCAAUAAUGUUAGUAUUAGUAACAAGAAAUAAUUUCUCCCUGCAUAAGUUUAUAUCAGACCGAAUACCUCACUGAUAGUUAACAGACAAAUAAUUAAACUUAAAACCUUAAAUCUUUAUUAUCCAAACUGUUAACCCAACACUGGCAUGCAUACAAGGGAAAGAUUAAAAAAAGUAAAAGGAACUCGGCAAACACUAACCCCGCCUGUUUACCAAAAACAUCACCUCUAGCAUUUCCAGUAUUAGAGGCACUGCCUGCCCAGUGACACAUGUUAAACGGCCGCGGUAUCCUGACCGUGCAAAGGUAGCAUAAUCAUUUGUUCCUUAAAUAGGGACUUGUAUGAAUGGCCCCACGAGGGUUAAACUGUCUCUUACUUUUAAUCAGUGAACUUGACCUUCCCGUGAAGAGGCGGGGAUAAUUUAAUAAGACGAGAAGACCCUAUGGAGCUUAAAUCUACUUAGCCUAAGCAUUUUUAUUCUUUUUCCGACAGGAUUUAACAAACAUGCCCCACUAGGCUUAAGAUUUUGGUUGGGGUGACCUCGGAGAAUAAAAUAACCUCCGAAUGAUAUUAACUUAGACUUGACCAGUCAAAGCUUCCACUCAUUAAUUGACCCAAACUUAUUGAUCAACGGAACAAGUUACCCUAGGGAUAACAGCGCAAUCCUACCCAAGAGUCCCUAUCGACAGUAGGGUUUACGACCUCGAUGUUGGAUCAGGACAUCCAAGCGGUGUAACCGCUGCUAAUGGUUCGUUUGUUCAACGAUUAAAG